CGGACCCACAUGCACAGCUCCAGACAUGGAGUUCGUUUAAUGGUUUUAGGCAAGAUCCAGUAAACAGGCGAAGGUUCAUACACAGGGACGCUCAGACUCAGGUAAGUUGCAGGCAGGUUGGGCAGCAGGUGGGCCCAGCAAAAGUGCUCAGUGCACUUGUUUCUGAUCAAGUUCAGGUGUAAAGGUUUAAUUUAAAGGAGUCAUAUCAUACUUUUCAUUCUAAAAAAUAUUAGACUUUAAUGUCUCAGUAAGGUCUCUAUAAUUUUCAUCCCAUAAAACCCUUUAGAUCGUCCACACUGCCCCUGUCAAUAUGUGGUUCUCACUCCCCAUCAGCAAACGCUGUGUUUUCUGGGCGUGUCGCAAGCGAAGCUGCUCACCACACCUCUGUGCGGAAGCGCAUACCUUUUUUGUUGUUGUUGUUGUUUUUUAAAUUGGCUCCAUGGAUACGAGCUACCGCACGGUUACGAUACAAUAGGUGGCAGUAGUGCGACAUUGAGAAUGCAAUCCACCGCAAUCCUCCACAGAAGAAGAAGACCCACUACAGAACUGCACGACAUUAGUCAGCUGGUUCGUAGCGUAGUAGAACCAUACGUCUACGAUCCCGAAUCUGACCCUGAAGCUGAAGAGGAGGCUGUUGAAGUCGCCACAUUUCGGCUGAUGCAAGAUGUGUCUCAUUGUUGUUACAGGUAUCUAGUCUACAGAGGCUAGUGAGCUGGUGCUGAGGAUUCCUGGGGUGAAGAAUCUGAGUUGCCAUCUCUUCAUGCUUGGGUUGUAGAUGAAGGCAGUUUCCUGAUGGAUAAAACACUAAAACACUCAUAGUAUGAUUGAUGUAGACCACCUGUAGAAUAACUCCUUUACCAUUUGAGUAAAAAUGUGUUUUUUUUUUGAGUGCAACACUCUAAGAAUUUUUUAAAUUUUAUUUAUAUAUAAUUUAUAUGCUUUUUAUUUAUGGCCGCUUCAACUUUAUAGCUUACCAUAUUAGAAAGAGAAAAACAUGUAAUUUUAAUACUAUGAUUUCCUAAAUAAAAGUGUUUUCCCUUCAGAAACA
RNAcentral lists this long non-coding RNA (1048 nucleotides) under Betta splendens (Siamese fighting fish). RNAcentral describes it as "lncRNA (ENSBSLG00000000448.1)". Lineage: Eukaryota; Metazoa; Chordata; Actinopteri; Anabantiformes; Osphronemidae. The record is from RNAcentral.